UCAAUGUAGUCGGAAUCGCGCCAAAAAGUUAGUGCAACGAUGUCAACUUGCAGACGCAAUUUCGACCACCGGUGGUCCAAUGACGAUGGGCUACCUAUCGUUGAAAAUCUCAUUUAAUGUAAAAUACAUUAAUUAUAAUCUGAUUUCAUGACAAUCGGUCAUCGUUUCAUAUGUAAUUUCGAUAAAAAAGAGCUAAUAUCAUAAUUUUGGUGUGAUUGUGGCUAUAAUUAAACAUUUUCUCAAACAUUUCCCUCAAUUUAUAUAUCCCAAAAGUUGUUUGCCAUCUUCUCAUGCACCAUGCCUCCACUUCCACUUCUUCACAACUUCCACCGCGAUCCUUUUCGCGCCGCAGCUAUCGGAAUCUCCACCGACACCAUCACGACUGCUAAAUUUAUUCAAUUUCAGUUCAGCUCUCCUCUCAAUUUCCGCGGCAAAGCUUUGAUAGCAACGGCUGUUUCCGGACGCGUGAACGGCGAUCAUCCGUCUACAGUUGCAUUUUCGUGAGUGCUAGUAAUAAUAACUAUAGGUUGAUGCAGGACAAAUCCUCUCUGGAGGGAGCUGCCUCGGUAAUGUCACUGCUGGAAUCUUUUUCUGAUUCUGGGUCCUUGUUGACAAUUUCAUCUACACAUCUUGGAGAACUCAAAAAUCUUAAGUGCAGGUUUGAAAUGUUAUGCUGUUGGCCCAGUGAGAUGUUAUGCUGAAUUUUGGUUCUGAUACAGACUGCUAUUAGAUUUUGGUAGUUUUCAUCUUGCUCCUAUGGUCGCUUAUUUCUCUACUCUAACCAUCUUGUUUUGGUUGUAUUAAAGUAUCUGGUAUCCACUGCUAAUUCUUAUUCUUGCCUUGUACAUUACAUCCUGAAUCCCUUUGCUAGACUUGAUUUGUCUCUAUUUUAGGAUGGUCAAAUGCAACCUAUAUUGCUGAGAGGCUUGGACUGCCUGUUGAAUUUUUUAUUCUGGAAAUAUGGUACUUCCUAGUGUAGUUUAUUUUAUUUUUAAAUAUUAAUAUCUAUCUAUUUUUUGUAGCUUCUUUAAUAGAUACACCAAUGCGUCUAUACGAAUGGUUAGCUUGUUUUUUUGGCAUAAAAUGCACAUGUUUUGGCUAUACCUCUUUCAUAUAUCUAGUUCAGUAAAGAGCUUCAGCAAAUACGAAACAGAAAGUAUGUUUUCAGGAAUUGGAGUCCCCUUUCUAUCAAACCCUCAAACUGAAUUCAUAUAGAACUGAUAUACUAACUUUUACCUUAAUUUGAUUUAUUUAUCCCCAACUUUACAGGUAUUCAGAUAGAAAAAUCUAACAGCGUCAUUUUGCUGAAUUCCUCAGCAAAUGUUUACACGGAGAUCUAAUUUCAUGUGUCAUGGGGUUGUAUGAUUUCACACACUCUCGAAUUUGCUUCGAAAUUUAAGAAGGGAACUUACUACAUCUCUCAUUGAGGGCCUGAUAUCUGGAUUCAUUUCAGUGCAUUGUAAAGCAAGAUCCACCAUCACCAGUGCUUCUUGCCUUUCCUCGCUCUCCCAGUACUUGAUUUCUUCAUCGAAGAAACCAAAGUGAUGGUUGUAACCAUGUAGUGUCGUCCUUACCCACGAGACAAUGUCUAAGCCCUCAUCAAAACUGGGAUCCACUGGUAAUUUUCUGCAAAGAAGCUCUAGCAGAAUUACUCCGUAGCUGUAUACAUCACAUUUAUCCGUCAACUUUGUUGCGUAUGCAUUCUCUGAAAUGGAAAAGUAGUAAGACCUUGUGAGGUUAGAUUCUUGACAAUAAGUUUUGAUUUCAAGCAUAUUAAAAUUUUAGAUGCUACAUGAGUUGAAUUAGAGCAGGUGCAUUAUGUAUCAUUUACAUGCAUAUAUAGACAUCUCAAUCCGAAAUUUUCACUUGUUGGAAUCCACAGAUUGUAGUAUAGACAAGCUGAAACGUAAAUAUUAGCUGAUGCAUACCUGGUGCUAUAUAGCCAAGUGUUCCAACAAUUACAGAAGCUGUUUGGUCUUCAUCGACAUCGGAAUCCAAUUUUGCUGCCCCGAAAUCUCCAAUCUUCGGUUCAAAAUCAGAAUCCAACAGUAUGUUGUCUGUCUUUAUGUCUCUGUGAAUGAUUGGAGGCACACAGUCAUGGUGAAGAUACGACAAACCUUGAGCUAUUCCAAGAGCGAUACGACAUCGCUGCUCCCAGGUCAAAGCUACCCGAGUGCCUGAUGAGGAGAUGAUGGGGUACGGUGCCAAAAUCGAGUUACUAGCGCGUACAUGGCAGCAAGAAGGCAUGCUGUCAAGAAAAAUGAUCCGGUUAUUAUACCAGCAAGGACUAAGCCUUCUGGAUGUGAUUUCUUGUGACUUCCACAGUGGCCACUUUUUGUGGAUGCUGAGCAGAGUCUUGGAUUUCCGAGAGAUGUUCCGGGAUGCGACUCCAAUGCCUUCGCCCAAACAGCUGGAAUUUGGCCUGCGAGUUGAUUAUACGAUAUGUUCAGAAAAAAAAGUGAUCUCAUAUUGUCUGUGGCUGAUGGUAUCUCGCCUGAGAAAUUGUUGCUUGAGAUAUCAAGAAUCUCCAACAUAUCAAGAUCGCCAAUGCAUCUGGGUAUUUCCCCAGAAAUCUUGUUUGUACUGAGGUUCAGAUAAUUGAAGUUUUCGAUUCUACUCAGACUGCAAGGAAAAGGACCCUCAAGCAAAUUGUUCCCAAGCUGCAGCUCUAGCAGUUUUUGGCUACUCACAAAAGCGUCAGGAAUCACGGCGGUCAAUUUGUUGUCUUGAAGCCGAAUGAUUGCCAGUGUUGAUGAAGAAAGGAUCUCAGAUGGGACACCUCCCGCAAGUUCAUUCUUGCUGAGGUCUAGUUUGUCUAUUCUUGGACAACGACUCAGCUCGGGAGGAAUUUCUCCUGUCAGUCUGUUUGAAGAAACAUUCAUUUCUACAAGAUUUUGAAGCUCCCCAAAUUCCUGAGGUAUUGAGCCUGAAAACUUAUUCUCUGAAAGAUCAAUCAAUGAAAGAUUGCUCCAGGAACCAAAUGCUGUUGGGAUGGUUCCUUCAAAUAAGUUUCCUCGAAUAUCAAAAUGUGCAAUGCUCGAAGAAUUUCCUAUGUCAUUCGGUAUGCUACCUUCCAAACGAUUGUUGUAGAGAAACAACCUGUACAGAGACUUACAUUUGAUAAUUUCUGUGGGGAAACCACCAGUAAAUUUGUUGUCACCAAGGGUGAAACGCAGAAGGCGGUUGCCAGAACAUGCAGCACCUGGAAUUUCUCCCGUAAACUGAUUUCCUGUAAGAUCCAAAAUACCUAAACCGGGAACAUUAUUCUUGCCCAAAUCUGAUGGAAUCUCCCCUUCAAAGUUGUUUUGAGCCAAAACAAGAUCUGUAAGGUUUGUCAACUUGGUAAUUCCAGCCGGUAUUCUUCCUGUCAUUCUAUUACUGUAGAUGCUGAACACUUUAAGAGAGAGCAAUCUGUCAAUACACUGUGGUAUAGGACCCUCAAUCUGAUUGUAAUUCAGCAUGAGAAUCUCUAAACUCCGGAGACCACAAAUCUCAGGAGGAAGAAUUCCACUGAUUUCGUUAAAACGAAAUGCAACUUCGACCAGAGAAGUGCAGUUUCCUAUUCCUGAAGGUAUAGGACCACUGAGCGUAUUAUUAUAGAGAUACAUGAAUACCAAGUUCUUAAGAUAAGAAACCGAAGCUGGAAUAGGACCAGUCAAGGUGUUGAGAGAUAAGUCGAGGCGAGUAAGCUUUUCGCAUUGCUUGAUUUCUUCAGGAAUGCUCCCAUUGAACCUGUUUCCCCCAAGUACAAGCCUUGUUAAAUUCCUGAGACUCCACAGGGACAUAGGAAUUUGCCCUUCAAAGUUGUUUCCAGCAAGGUACAGUCUUCUAAGUUGUGUCAGGCCCUUGAAGAUAUCCUGCUCUAUUACUCCUCCAAGAUGGUUAAAAGAUGCAUUGAGAACUUGGAGAUCAUGACAGUUGCGUAUGGAAGGUGGCAAGGGGCCAUGGAAUGAAUUUUCAGGCAGUUGGAGUUCAACAAGCGAGCAUGCCGAUGGAAAAUCAGGCAAGGUGGAAUCGUGCCAGAUAGUUUGUUGCGGCCCAGGUCGAGCCGUUGAAGCUGCCCCGGUCUGAAAACAUCAGGUGGAAUUGGCCCAGACAGGUUAUUGUUGUAGAGGAAAACCUCAAUGAGCUGACCGCAGUUUCCAACCACUGCAGGAACGCUUCCACUGAAAUUGUUGGCGCUGAGAUCAACAGUGAUGAGAUCAGAAAUCUGACACAAAUAUGGAAACGAAUCCUCUAGAACCCCGGUGAGGCCGAGUUGAGGAGAGAUCUUGAAGUCUCCGGCAGACUGUUUCGAAAUCGGAGAAGCUGCAGCGCAGCUGGAGGCUGCGAAGCAGAUGGGAUCGGGACAAGAAGCAGAAUAUACCCAAGAAACAGAACAAACAUUUUGGUAAG
This is an RNA transcript of Salvia miltiorrhiza (redroot sage), 4395 nucleotides long. RefSeq lists it as uncharacterized. The record is from RefSeq and is a predicted model, not a curated record. Lineage: Eukaryota; Viridiplantae; Streptophyta; Magnoliopsida; Lamiales; Lamiaceae. The transcript is spliced from 5 exons.